CUAGCAAAUUCAUAGAAAAUAUUUGCUGUCCUAGUACUCAGGAGGCUGAAGCUGGAGAGGUCAAUGGACUCAAUACAGAGACUCUAUCUCAAAAAACAAAUGGCAAAUAAGUAAAUAAACGGACGUGAUCUCUGCUGCUGGAACCUUGCUCCGAGCUCACCUUCAGGGCUGGAACCAGAGACCCCCAAAGCUCAGCUGAGCCUCACCUGUGACUGGCUUCAACUCUGUUCCCAGGUCCCUCCUGCCACAGAUGAUGUGUGCAGCUGGGCAGGGGAACACAGGCCUCAAGGACCAGCGUGGGACACUCUGCUUCUGUCUGUGCCUUCUGAUCCUGUCCUGAGUCUGAGGGACCAAAACGUAGCCGUUUCGAUGGUUGCUGGGCAAAAGCCCACGUUCCAGAUGCUUUGUCAUUUGUCCUCAUCUGUGACCUUCCAGGGGCCCCAUCCUGCUCCAAUUUUGGCAGCUACUUUCUGAUUCCUCGUGCACAGUAAGGGUGAGAUGAGUUAGAAGGACAAAAGUAGGCUGAAAAAGUAGUGAAGGAUCAGCAUUAACAUGCAUUUUAAUAAUAUUUUUGACUUACCCUCAAGGGUUUUGAAAUGACAAAGUCUAACAAAAUGGUCCCAGUUCAACAAGGCACAGUUCAGAUUCCUCAGAUGGCCUAACUGUAGCUCUCUAGCUGACUCAGGAAACAGUGGUGUCCUCGUUCUCUUCAAUGUGAAUGACAUGUUGGAUUGAGAGGAAAACCCAUUGAAAAGUAAGGUGAUUUUCUUCUAACAACAACACAAACCUCAACAAGCAAUUCCAUUUCUUUCUUUGCAGCAACUUAUUUCAGCACAUGUGGAAUAAUAUUCAUAAUGAACAUUUGUGAGUAUAUUUGCCCUAAAUAUGGUUAUGGGAUAUCUUGCCCAUUUCUGUGAUCUAUUAAAAGUGCUUUAAGAACAUAAUGAAAGUGGGGCAAAGUGGCACACACCUAUAAUCCUAGCUACUCAGGUAGCUGAGGCAGGAUAAUCUCAAGCUUAAGGCCAUCCUGGAAAACCUAAUAAGACCCUGUCUUGCAGUAAAAAAAGAAAAAAGAAAAAAGUGGGACUGAGCGUGAGGAUGUCGCUCAGGGGUAGAACACCCCUGAGCUCUCAGUGGUAGAACCUCAGCCAGGCUCCCAGGAAGCAGCAGGGAGGGCGUGUAGGUUUCCUCUGAAGCAGCUUCUUCCCUGGUCCCGCUGCCUGCUGUCUCCA
Molecule: long non-coding RNA, 1232 nt
Filed under: Cavia porcellus (domestic guinea pig)
Lineage: Eukaryota; Metazoa; Chordata; Mammalia; Rodentia; Caviidae
Description: lncRNA (ENSCPOG00000032148.1)
Source: RNAcentral